Molecule: ribosomal RNA, 440 nt
Filed under: uncultured bacterium
Lineage: Bacteria
Description: partial 16S ribosomal RNA
Rfam family: Bacterial small subunit ribosomal RNA
Source: RNAcentral
CCUACGGGGAGCAGCAGUAGGGAAUAUUGCUCAAUGGGGGAAACCCUGAAGCAGCAACGCCGCGUGGUGGAUGAAGGUUUUAGGAUUGGAAACUCCUUUUGUUAGAGAAGAUUAUGACGGUAUCUAACGAAUAAGCUCUGGCUAACUUCGUGCCAGCAGCCGCGGUAAUACGGAGGGUGCCAGCGUUACUCGGAAUCACUGGGCGUAAAGAGUGCGUAGGCGGGGUAAUAAGUCAGAUGUGAAAUCCUGUAGCUUAACUAUAGAACUGCAUUUGAAACUGUUACUCUGGAGUGUGGGAGAGGUAGGUGGAAUUCGUGGUGUAGGGGUAAAAUGCGUAGAGAUCAAGAGGAAUACUCAUUGCGAAGGCGACCUACUGGAACAUUACUGACGCUGAUGCACGAAAGCGUGGGGAGCAAACAGGAUUAGAUACCCGAGUAGUC